This 327-nucleotide ribosomal RNA is filed under the name uncultured eukaryote. RNAcentral describes it as "partial 18S ribosomal RNA". It matches the Rfam family "Eukaryotic small subunit ribosomal RNA", at positions 1470 to 1796 of the family's 1831-position model. The record is from RNAcentral.
CCCUUAGAUGUUCUGGGCCGCACGCGCGCUACACUGACGAAUGCAACGAGCCUAUAACCUUGGCCGAAAGGUCUGGGUAAUCUCCAAAUUUCGUCGUGAUGGGGAUAGAUUAUUGCAAUUAUUAAUCUUCAACGAGGAAUGCCUAGUAAGCGCAAGUCAUCAGCUUGCGUUGAUUACGUCCCUGCCCUUUGUACACACCGCCCGUCGCUCCUACCGAUUGAAUGGUCCGGUGAAGCGUUCGGACCGUGGCCUUUGGACGGUUCGCCGUCUGUUGGCUGCGGGAAGUUCGUUAAACCUUAUCAUUUAGAGGAAGGAGAANUCGUANCA